RNAcentral lists this ribosomal RNA (274 nucleotides) under uncultured bacterium. RNAcentral's name for it is "partial 16S ribosomal RNA". It matches the Rfam family "Bacterial small subunit ribosomal RNA", at positions 523 to 796 of the family's 1533-position model. The record is from RNAcentral.
AUACAGAGGGUGCAAGCGUUAAUCGGAAUUACUGGGCGUAAAGCGCACGUAGGUGGUUCAUUAAGUCAGAUGUGAAAGCCCCGGGCUCAACCUGGGAACUGCAUUUGAAACUGGUGAGCUAGAGUAUGGUAGAGGUAAGUGGAAUUCCAGGUGUAGCGGUGAAAUGCGUAGAUAUCUGGAGGAACAUCAGUGGCGAAGGCGACUUACUGGACCAAUACUGACACUGAGGUGCGAAAGCGUGGGGAGCAAACAGGAUUAGAAACCCCUGUAGUCC